ACACUCCUACGGGAGGCAGCAGUGGGGAAUAUUGCACAAUGGGCGCAAGCCUGAUGCAGCCAUGCCGCGUGUAUGAAGAAGGCCUUCGGGUUGUAAAGUACUUUCAGCGGGGAGGAAGGCGAUAAGGUUAAUAACCUUGUCGAUUGACGUUACCCGCAGAAGAAGCACCGGCUAACUCCGUGCCAGCAGUCGCGGUAAUACGGAGGGUGCAAGCGUUAAUCGGAAUUACUGGGCGUAAAGCGCACGCAGGCGGUCUGUCAAGUCGGAUGUGAAAUCCCCGGGCUCAACCUGGGAACUGCAUUCGAAACUGGCAGGCUAGAGUCUUGUAGAGGGGGGUAGAAUUCCAGGUGUAGCGGUGAAAUGCGUAGAGAUCUGGAGGAAUACCGGUGGCGAAGGCGGCCCCCUGGACAAAGACUGACGCUCAGGUGCGAAAGCGUGGGGAGCAAACAGGAUUAGAAACCACUGUAGUCCCAUGAU
RNAcentral lists this ribosomal RNA (477 nucleotides) under uncultured organism. RNAcentral describes it as "partial 16S ribosomal RNA". It matches the Rfam family "Bacterial small subunit ribosomal RNA", at positions 333 to 801 of the family's 1533-position model. The record is from RNAcentral.